Molecule: transfer RNA, 69 nt
Filed under: Ictidomys tridecemlineatus (thirteen-lined ground squirrel)
Lineage: Eukaryota; Metazoa; Chordata; Mammalia; Rodentia; Sciuridae
Also listed under: 1 other name
Description: Spermophilus tridecemlineatus (thirteen-lined ground squirrel) tRNA
Rfam family: tRNA
About the family: Transfer RNA (tRNA) molecules are approximately 80 nucleotides in length. Their secondary structure includes four short double-helical elements and three loops (D, anti-codon, and T loops). Further hydrogen bonds mediate the characteristic L-shaped molecular structure. tRNAs have two regions of fundamental functional importance: the anti-codon, which is responsible for specific mRNA codon recognition, and the 3' end, to which the tRNAs corresponding amino acid is attached (by aminoacyl-tRNA synthetases). tRNAs cope with the degeneracy of the genetic code in two manners: having more than one tRNA (with a specific anti-codon) for a particular amino acid; and 'wobble' base-pairing, i.e. permitting non-standard base-pairing at the 3rd anti-codon position.
Source: Rfam by way of RNAcentral
GGAGUUGUGGCUCAGGGGUAGAGCACUUGCCUAGCAUGCAUGAGGCACUGGGUUCAAUUCUCAGCACCA